UACGUAGGGGGCAAGCGUUAUCCGGAUUUACUGGGUGUAAAGAGUGCGUAGGUGGCAUGGUAAGUCAGAUGUGAAAACUUGAGGCUCAACUACAAGAUUGCAUGUGAAAAUGCUAAGCUAGAGUGCAGGAGAGGAAAGUGGAAUUACGAGUGUAGCGGUGAAAUGAGUAGAGAUUCGGAGGAACACCAGUAGCGAAGGCGACUUUCUGGACUGUAACUGACACUGAGGCAAGAAAGCGUGGGGAGCGAACAGG
Molecule: ribosomal RNA, 253 nt
Filed under: uncultured bacterium
Lineage: Bacteria
Description: partial 16S ribosomal RNA
Rfam family: Bacterial small subunit ribosomal RNA
Source: RNAcentral